UACGGGGGGGGCAAGCGUUGUUCGGAAUUACUGGGCGUAAAGGGCUCGUAGGUGGCCAACUAAGUCGGACGUGAAAUCCCUCGGCUUAACCGGGGAACUGCGUCUGAUACUGGAUGGCUUGAGUUCGGGAGAGGGAUGCGGAAUUCCAGGUGUAGCGGUGAAAUACGUAGAUAUCUGGAGGAAUACCGGUGGCGAAGGCGGCUAUCUGGCCAAACAUUGACGCUGAGAGACGAAAGCGUGGGUAGCAAACAGG
This 253-nucleotide ribosomal RNA is filed under the name uncultured bacterium. Its description in RNAcentral is "partial 16S ribosomal RNA". It matches the Rfam family "Bacterial small subunit ribosomal RNA", at positions 524 to 776 of the family's 1533-position model. The record is from RNAcentral.